Molecule: ribosomal RNA, 435 nt
Filed under: uncultured bacterium
Lineage: Bacteria
Description: partial 16S ribosomal RNA
Rfam family: Bacterial small subunit ribosomal RNA
Source: RNAcentral
AGCGAACGCUGGCGGCAGGCUUAACACAUGCAAGUCGAGCGGGCACUUUCGGGUGUCAGCGGCGGACGGGUGAGUAACGCGUGGGAACGUGCCCUCUGGUUCGGAAUAACUCAGGGAAACUUGAGCUAAUACCGGAUACGCCCUUUUGGGGAAAGGCUUGCUGCCGGAGGAUCGGCCCGCGUCUGAUUAGCUAGUUGGUGAGGUAACGGCUCACCAAGGCGACGAUCAGUAGCUGGUCUGAGAGGAUGAUCAGCCACACUGGGACUGAGACACGGCCCAGACUCCUACGGGAGGCAGCAGUGGGGAAUAUUGGACAAUGGGCGCAAGCCUGAUCCAGCCAUGCCGCGUGAGUGAUGAAGGCCUUAGGGUUGUAAAGCUCUUUUAUCCGGGACGAUAAUGACGGUACCGUAGGAAUAAGCCCCGGCUAACUUCGUG